RNAcentral lists this ribosomal RNA (912 nucleotides) under uncultured archaeon. RNAcentral describes it as "bacterial SSU rRNA". It matches the Rfam family "Archaeal small subunit ribosomal RNA", at positions 1 to 922 of the family's 1478-position model. The record is from RNAcentral.
UUCCGGUUGAUCCUGCCGGACCCGACUGCUAUCAGAGUGGGACUAAGCCAUGCGAGUCAACGCAGCAAUGCGUGGCACACGGCUCAGUAACACGUAGUCAACAUGCCCAGGGGACGUGGAUAACCUCGGGAAACUGAGGAUAAACCGCGAUAGGCCAAGGUUUCUGGAAUGGACACUGGCUGAAACCUACAUGGCCCCUGGAUUGGACUGCGGCCGAUCAGGCUGUUGGUGAGGUAAUGGCCCACCAAACCUGUAACCGGUACGGGCUUUGAGAGAAGGAGCCCGGAGAUGGGCACUGAGACAAGGGCCCAGGCCCUAUGGGGCGCAGCAGGCGCGAAAAUUCUGCAAUAGGCGAAAGCUUGACAGAGUUACUCUGAGUGAUGCCCGCUAAGGGCAUCUUUUGGCACCUCUAAAAAUGGUGCAGAAUAAGGGGUGGGCAAGUCUGGUGUCAGCCGCCGCGGUAAUACCAGCACCCCGAGUGGUCGGGACGAUUAUUGGGCCUAAAGCAUCCGUAGCCGGCUUUGCAAGUCUCCGGUUAAAUCCAGCUGCCUAACAGAUGGGCUGCCGGAGAUACUACAAAGCUAGGGAGCGGGAGAGGCAGACGGUAUUCGGUGGGUAGGGGUAAAAUCCUCUGAUCCAUUGAGGACCACCAGUGGCGAAGGCGGUCUGCCAGAACGCGUUCGACGGUGAGGGAUGAAAGCUGGGGGAGCAAACCGGAUUAGAUACCCGGGUAGUCCCAGCUGUAAACGAUGCAAACUCGGUGAUGCAUUGGCUUAUGGCCAAUGCAGUGCCGCAGGGAAGCCGUUAAGUUUGCCGCCUGGGAAGUACGUACGCAAGACUGAAACUUAAAGGAAUUGGCGGGGGAGCACCACAAGGGGUGAAGCCUGCGGUUCAAUUGGAUUCAACGCCGGA